Long non-coding RNA from Bombus huntii, 880 nucleotides. RefSeq lists it as uncharacterized. The transcript is spliced from 3 exons. NCBI's taxonomy places the organism in Eukaryota, Metazoa, Arthropoda, Insecta, Hymenoptera, Apidae. The record is from RefSeq and is a predicted model, not a curated record.
CAUGUAAAUAAUUCUACAUCUUAGUACAUAAUUCCAUAAUAAUAAAAUUGAAAUUAGAAUGAUAACAAUUAAAUUAGAUUGAAAUAAAAGAAACACUACUAUCAUACAUAUGUAAGUGCACACGUAUAAUUUAAAUUAUGAUUGCCGCCAAUCACUUCUACAUUAUCGACAGAUGGAAAAUAUUAAUACUUUUGCGUUAUAUAUAAUGUCUAUGGUAAAACUAGUAUUUAUUUUUAACUCAUGUAUAUACAUAUUUAUUAAUUUUUACUACGAAACUCAAUAAUAUUAAUGAAAAACUGAUAUUAUUAAUAACGUUAAAAGCAUUACUACAUGUGAAAGUUAUUAACAAGUAUAAAAUAACUUGCAAAUAUAUUAUAAAACUACAGAAAAGCUAUCGUAACUUAUCAUUAUUAAACACACUUAUAACUGAAUAAUUGUAACAUACAACUUUCCAAGUAUAAUAACGAUAUUUAUAUGACAUAUAUAUUACUCAGGUUACAGUAACCUGAGUAAUAUAAUAUUUGAAAUCCGAGAAAAAUUUAUCCGAGUUAAUAACAUAUUUAUCGAAGUACAGUGUCUAAUUAUAUCACAAACAAAUGACAAGUACAUAUCACAGAAAAGAUUUUAGUUUAUCAAAAUCUAAAACAUUAAAGAAUUUCGCUGUGAUUUUAAAACCCAUAUAUUUCAUUAUUAAUUAUUAUUCAUAAGUGGAAACUGUAAAAAGGAAAAAGAUAUUCGCUCUUUGGAAUUAAGUACACAUUUCGAUGAUGUAAUUGCAGACGUGCGGAUUAUACCACAAAAUUGAAUGUAUAUUUAGACUCAUGUUGUGUUUCAAAUGUUAACAGGAAUAAAUAUAGUAGAUGUAACCGUGCUAAAUAUA